GGGCCUGUAGCUCAGCUGGUUAGAGCACAGUCCUGAUAAGACUGGGGUCACUGGUUCGAGUCCAGUCAGGCCCA
Molecule: non-coding RNA, 74 nt
Organism: Chloroflexi bacterium GWB2_49_20
Lineage: Bacteria; Bacillati; Chloroflexota
Source: Rfam